GGAUGAACGCUGGCGGCGUGCCUAAUACAUGCAAGUCGAGCGAACAGACGAGGAGCUUGCUCCUCUGACGUUAGCGGCGGACGGGUGAGUAACACGUGGAUAACCUACCUAUAAGACUGGGAUAACUUCGGGAAACCGGAGCUAAUACCGGAUAAUAUAUUGAACCGCAUGGUUCAAUAGUGAAAGACGGUUUUGCUGUCACUUAUAGAUGGAUCCGCGCCGCAUUAGCUAGUUGGUAAGGUAACGGCUUACCAAGGCAACGAUGCGUAGCCGACCUGAGAGGGUGAUCGGCGACACUGGAACUGAGACACGGUCCAGACUCCUACGGGAGGCAGCAGUAGGGAAUCGUCCGCAAUGGGCGAAAGCCUGACGGAGCAACGCCGCGUGAGUGAUGAAGGUCUUCGGAUCGUAAAACUCUGUUAUUAGGGAAGAACAAAUGUGUAAGUAACUAUGCACGUCUUGACGGUACCUAAUCAGAAAGCCACGGCUAACUACGUG
RNAcentral lists this ribosomal RNA (498 nucleotides) under uncultured bacterium. RNAcentral's name for it is "partial 16S ribosomal RNA". It matches the Rfam family "Bacterial small subunit ribosomal RNA", at positions 27 to 507 of the family's 1533-position model. The record is from RNAcentral.